Molecule: ribosomal RNA, 716 nt
Filed under: Micrococcaceae bacterium
Lineage: Bacteria; Bacillati; Actinomycetota; Actinomycetes; Micrococcales; Micrococcaceae
Description: bacterial SSU rRNA
Rfam family: Bacterial small subunit ribosomal RNA
Source: RNAcentral
GGGUGAGUAACACGUGAGUAACCUGCCCUUAACUCUGGGAUAAGCCUGGGAAACUGGGUCUAAUACCGGAUAUGACUCCUCAUCGCAUGGUGGGGGGUGGAAAGCUUUUUGUGGUUUUGGAUGGACUCGCGGCCUAUCAGCUUGUUGGUGAGGUAAUGGCUCACCAAGGCGACGACGGGUAGCCGGCCUGAGAGGGUGACCGGCCACACUGGGACUGAGACACGGCCCAGACUCCUACGGGAGGCAGCAGUGGGGAAUAUUGCACAAUGGGCGCAAGCCUGAUGCAGCGACGCCGCGUGAGGGAUGACGGCCUUCGGGUUGUAAACCUCUUUCAGUAGGGAAGAAGCGAAAGUGACGGUACCUGCAGAAGAAGCGCCGGCUAACUACGUGCCAGCAGCCGCGGUAAUACGUAGGGCGCAAGCGUUAUCCGGAAUUAUUGGGCGUAAAGAGCUCGUAGGCGGUUUGUCGCGUCUGCCGUGAAAGUCCGGGGCUCAACUCCGGAUCUGCGGUGGGUACGGGCAGACUAGAGUGAUGUAGGGGAGACUGGAAUUCCUGGUGUAGCGGUGAAAUGCGCAGAUAUCAGGAGGAACACCGAUGGCGAAGGCAGGUCUCUGGGCAUUAACUGACGCUGAGGAGCGAAAGCAUGGGGAGCGAACAGGAUUAGAUACCCUGGUAGUCCAUGCCGUAAACGUUGGGCACUAGGUGUGGGGGACAUU